GACGAACGCUGGCGGCGUGCUUAACACAUGCAAGUCGAACGGAAAGGCCCUGCUUUUGUGGGGUGCUCGAGUGGCGAACGGGUGAGUAACACGUGAGUAACCUGCCCUUGACUUUGGGAUAACUUCAAGAAACUGGGGCUAAUACCGGAUAGGAGCUCCUGCUGCACGGUGGGGGUUGGAAAGUUUCGGCGGUUGGUGAUGGACUCGCGGCUUAUCAGCUUGUUGGUGGGGUAGUGGCUUACCAAGGCUUUGACGGGUAGCCGGCCUGAGAGGGUGACCGGCCACAUUGGGACUGAUAUACCGCCCAGACUCAUACGGGAGGCAGCAGUGGGGAAUAUUGCACAAUGGGCGGAAGCCUGAUGCAGCAACGCCGCGUGCGGGAUGACGGCCUUCGGGUUGUAAACCGCUUUCGCCUGUGACGAAGCGUGAGUGACGGUAAUGGGUAAAGAAGCACCGGCUAACUACGUG
RNAcentral lists this ribosomal RNA (468 nucleotides) under uncultured bacterium. RNAcentral's name for it is "partial 16S ribosomal RNA". It matches the Rfam family "Bacterial small subunit ribosomal RNA", at positions 28 to 507 of the family's 1533-position model. The record is from RNAcentral.